RNAcentral lists this ribosomal RNA (455 nucleotides) under uncultured Syntrophaceae bacterium. RNAcentral's name for it is "bacterial SSU rRNA". It matches the Rfam family "Bacterial small subunit ribosomal RNA", at positions 925 to 1384 of the family's 1533-position model. The record is from RNAcentral. Lineage: Bacteria; Pseudomonadati; Thermodesulfobacteriota; Syntrophia; Syntrophales; Syntrophaceae.
ACAAGCGGUGGAGCAUGUGGUUUAAUUCGAUGCAACGCGAAGACUUACCUGGGCUGACAUCCCAAGAAUCCCUGGAAACAGGGGAGUGCCCUUCGGGAGCUUGGAGACAGGUGCUGCAUGGCUGUCGUCAGCUCGUGUCGUGAGAUGUUGGGUUAAGUCCCGCAACGAGCGCAACCCUUGCCUUUAGUUGCCAUCAUUCAGUUGGGCACUCUAGAGGGACUGCCGGUGUCAAACCGGAGGAAGGUGGGAUGACGUCAAGUCCUCAUGGCCUUUAUGCCCAGGGCUACACACGUGCUACAAUGGGCGGUACAAAGAGCAGCGAGCUCGCGAGAGUAAGCAAAUCUCAAAAAGCCGUCCUCAGUUCGGAUUGGAGUCUGCAACUCGACUCCAUGAAGUUGGAAUCGCUAGUAAUCGCGGAUCAGCAUGCCGCGGUCGAAUACGUUCCCGGGCCUUGU